GCAGCGCCUGGCUGAUGGACGCCUGGGGCUGGCGCCCCGGGACUCCGGCGGUCCGUGCCGCCGCGCUGCCCC
This 72-nucleotide transfer RNA is filed under the name Streptomyces naganishii JCM 4654. RNAcentral describes it as "tRNA-Ala". Lineage: Bacteria; Bacillati; Actinomycetota; Actinomycetes; Kitasatosporales; Streptomycetaceae. The record is from RNAcentral.